AACGCACAUUGCGCCCCCUAGCAUUCUAGAGGGCAUGCCUGUCCGAGCGUCAUUUUCACCCCUCAAGCGCUGUUUUCGCUUGGAGUUGGGGCUCUUGCGGCCGGCACCUGGUGCCGCGCAAGGCUCUGAAAUUCAGCGGCGGGCCCCGCCAGCACACCGAGCGCAGUAGAAUACUCCUUCUUGCUCCCCGCUCAGGGCGUGCGGCGCGGUCCCAGCCGUCCUGGUCCCUCCAGAGGGACCUGAACAUUUUGUUAGUUGACCUCGGAUCAGGUAGGACUACCCGCUGAACUUAA
This 293-nucleotide unclassified non-coding RNA is filed under the name uncultured fungus. Its description in RNAcentral is "partial contains 5.8S ribosomal RNA, internal transcribed spacer 2, and large subunit ribosomal RNA". The record is from RNAcentral. Lineage: Eukaryota; Fungi.